AUUUCUUUUAUAGAUUCCUAAUUUAAGGAUUUAUCUGAAUUAAAGCAGUAUGAGAUACUUUCUGACCAAUAAACUGUAGAAGAGGAUAAAUGAAAAGCGGAUUAGAAAACGAUCAGAAAUGCAAGAAAAAUAUGUUAACUGAUACAACUAGUAACAAAUACACCUGUGUCGUACAUAGAGAACCACUUAGACAUGUAAAGAAUAUACAAUCGAAGACAAGAAAUGGAGUAAAAGAAAAAUGGUGCAUAAGAUGCAAGAGCAACAGAGGGGCAAUAGGGAGACAUAGUCACUUGGACAUAAAAUACAAUCAGGCAUAUAUAUUGAUAUGCGAUAUAAACUGUUAUCUUUCUUUUUCAAUGAAAUAUAUCCAAAAUAAAAAUUCAAUAUGGUUUACUGUUUCAGUGAUUCUUGUAUGAAUAUUAAAAAAACAUAUGUAAACAUGUAGGGAUUUUAUUUGUAAAAUCCUUUUGAGUUAAUCGGAAAUAUCUAAUUAAAGUGAGGUCCAGAUUCAAGUCUUUAGGAUAGAAAUAAACAAAUAAAAUUUCCUGGGUAGAAAAACAGAAUUAAGAUUGCACUAUACAAUGUUGGUUCAUUUGAUACCCAACAUGUUGGACCAAUGUUAGCCCAACAUGGUAUCCAUGACAAUAUGGUUGGCACAUGGUUGGCAGUACGUGUUAUAUGUUGGGGAAAAGUUGCUGGGCCAACAUGUAGCCAACUGUUUGCAGAGACGUUAGCCCGAUGAGCAACAAGUUGUUGGCCCAACAAUGGCUGCCAUCAUUGGGCCAACAAAGAUGCCAACAAAAAGCCAAUAUUGGGCCAACAAGCAUAUGUUUUUUUGGGAUAUUCCUUUACACUUCAGAUUACAGAUAUCCAAGAUAUUUAUUUCUUCCAAACACUUUACUUCACAUACAUUAUUUUCUUAAAUAUGUUUACAUUCUGCAUUUCACUUAUUUAGAUAAGAUUAUAUGCACAAAUAAUUUGAAUAAGACACGCAUAUCAGAAAAAUAUAUCCACCCGAAUCCACAAUGUAAGACAGAAUCAAACAACACGUGGUAGUUGUUGAAUAUUUUAGUGUCAAUUUUAUUGUUUAUCGAUUUAGACAUAACAAGGUCAAAUAAGGUCAGUAAAUUAAAUGCCGUAUUCACAGAUAGCGUGUUUUAUUGGUUACCCAUAAUUAUAUGUAAUAUGAUGAAUUGUACUUUUUAUGUUUGUAGAAAUAGAGGGAUUGUCGAUUUCUGUAUGAUUGUUAUAAAAAUAUUUUUUAACUGUACUGUCUGUAGACAUGUACCAGUAUGUUAGCAACUAUUACAAAAAUAUGAAAUUAUACUUUGAAAUGGCAUCUAAAUUUUUGAUAAAUUUAAAUAGUUGAAAUGUAAAUGGUACUAAAAAUAAAGCUAAAAGAGACCCUGUAAUUGAAUGGAUUAAAUCUCAAAACGGUUCUGUUUUUUAUUUACACGAAACUCAUUUUGAUGAAAACAUAGAAACAGAAAAACGAAAUAAUUCAGAAUUUGAUAUUUUUGCAGUCACGGAACAACUUCUAGUAGGGGCGUGGCUAUUCUCAUUAAAAAGUCACUGAAUUCUAAGCUGAUAAAUAAAUAUGACGAUGUAGAAGGACGAUUAGUUCUACUUAAUGUGGAAAUUGAUGAAAGCGUUUUUACACUAAUGUGUAUAUAUGCACCUAAUUGUAAAAAUAAUAGAAACAUAUUUUUCAAAAAGGUAAAUAAUAUAUUAAAAGAAGAAGGGAUAGGAAUUACAAUAAUGGGUUGAGAUUUCAAUGAUACGAUGAAAGGGAUAGACUGAAAAAAUGAAGAAGGGAUAGGAAUUACAAUAAUGGGUUGUGAUUUCAAUAAUACGAUGAAAGGGAUAGACUGAAAAAAUGUUCAAAAUAGUAAAUAGUUUUAAAAUCCUUAAUAAAAACAAAUAACUUUAUAUUUAUUCACCAAAUAUGCUUGUUACAUUGCUACUUCAAGAGUCCAAGCUCUUUUCGAUGUAUCCUGUAAUAUUCCACUGAUUACCCAGGUUAGUAAUCAGCUGUUGAUAUAUAUGAAUAUACACAUUUCUUGAAAUACAAUUGUACGAACGUUUUAUGCAUUAUGUUUUUAUCUAUUCAAUUGUGUAUACCGGUACUUCUUUUAGUGACUUCAGUACUGAAUUUAAUUCAUUGUUCUGUUUUCGUUAUAUCUUUUUAUGUAUUCUUGAACAAAAUUUUGAUAAACAUU
Molecule: long non-coding RNA, 2219 nt
Organism: Mytilus californianus (California mussel)
Lineage: Eukaryota; Metazoa; Mollusca; Bivalvia; Mytilida; Mytilidae
Exons: 2
Source: RefSeq, a predicted model, not a curated record